RNAcentral lists this ribosomal RNA (526 nucleotides) under uncultured bacterium. RNAcentral describes it as "bacterial SSU rRNA". It matches the Rfam family "Bacterial small subunit ribosomal RNA", at positions 984 to 1509 of the family's 1533-position model. The record is from RNAcentral.
ACAUCCAGAGAAUUUAGCAGAGAUGCUUUAGUGCCUUCGGGAACUCUGAGACAGGUGCUGCAUGGCUGUCGUCAGCUCGUGUUGUGAAAUGUUGGGUUAAGUCCCGCAACGAGCGCAACCCUUAUCCUUUGUUGCCAGCACGUAAUGGUGGGAACUCAAAGGAGACUGCCGGUGAUAAACCGGAGGAAGGUGGGGAUGACGUCAAGUCAUCAUGGCCCUUACGAGUAGGGCUACACACGUGCUACAAUGGCGCAUACAAAGAGAAGCGACCUCGCGAGAGCAAGCGGACCUCAUAAAGUGCGUCGUAGUCCGGAUUGGAGUCUGCAACUCGACGCCAUGAAGUCGGAAUCGCUAGUAAUCGUAAAUCAGAAUGUUACGGUGAAUACGUUCCCGGGCCUUGUACACACCGCCCGUCACACCAUGGGAGUGGGUUGCAAAAGAAGUAGAUAGCUUAACCUUCGGGAGGGCGUUUACCACUUUGUGAUUCAUGACUGGGGUGAAGUCGUAACAAGGUAAGCGUAGUGCU